Rhincodon typus (whale shark) is the source of this 1699-nucleotide long non-coding RNA. RefSeq lists it as uncharacterized. Lineage: Eukaryota; Metazoa; Chordata; Chondrichthyes; Orectolobiformes; Rhincodontidae. The transcript is spliced from 4 exons. The record is from RefSeq and is a predicted model, not a curated record.
GCGGAUUGCCAGGCCAUUUUAGAGGCCGUUGAAGAGUAAGCCACGUUGCUGUUGAUCUGGAGUCACUUGUUGUCCAGACCAGGUAAGGACAGCAGAUUUCCUUCCUUGAAGGUUAUUACAGAACCUGAUGGGUUUUUACAACAAGAAACAACAGUUAUUACCAUGCCCAUGACCAUCUGUAAAAUCUAGAUUUGGUAACAGAAUAGAAACUUCACCAUUAGGCACGUGCUACAGGAACAGACUGUGUCCAGACCACCCACUGCAUCUCUGUUUCACUUGUUCGGUGAAAUUCCCAAUUUGUCAGCAUCUCCAGAGCUAAAGUGGAUCAAUUAAUAUCAGCUACAUAUCAGGCAGAAUCUAUUUGAAAAGUUGAAAGGGCUUGCGACCUUCUGCUUUUACGAUCUUUUCUCUUAUGUUCAUGAACCAGCCUCAUUUAUGAAGGUAUGACCUGAACAAUGCAAUGCUGGGCUGCUGGUUUAUCCAAGAGAUUGUACCCAGCCUGCAGAGAGAUCCUGAGAAAGAAAUUAUAAAGACCGAAAUAAAUGAAAGAACUGCGGGCGCUGGAAAUCUGAAACAAAAACUGAAAUUGCUGGUGAAGGGUCACAGGACUCGAAACGUUAACUCUGCUUUCUCCCCACAGAUGCUGCCAGACCUGCUGAGUUUCACCAGCAAUUUCAAUUUCUGUUUGAGAAAUAAAACAAAUCUACCCUGGUUCCUGAAUGUUUCCCUCAUUCCUAAUUGCCUCAUACCAUCAUCACUGAUCGGAACUAUGAAGUACAGUGAUCAUAUUUAAUUUUCGAUUCUAAAACGUGUUUCUUAAAAGAGAGCUGCUGCAGCUGAGAAAGACGGUGGUAGAGACAGAGAGACCAACAGACCAUCACACCUAUGGAUGCUUGCAGAGCCUCAACCAACAGCCUUUCAAACUGGGAAGAGGGAUGUAAAUAGCCUUCCACACAAGUCAUUACAACGCAAGUACGAUAUUUCACCGUGUAAGCAACGAUGGGAAAGCCUGUAGCAUCAACCUUUGGAAUCUUUCAGAUCAGUGGUACAUGAUGACCCAGCUUACCUAGAGGAUCCACAUCACUGUAAGAUAUUAUGUUCUGCGAGGUCAGAAAGUCAUCUUUGACACUGAAUUGAAAGGAAGUGUUCAGCGAAGUCAUGUAAUCUCAGCUCAAUGCCCAGCAAGUUACUCAUUGCCGAAGGCGUUUGCUGCCAUACAUUUCACAACCAGCAGAGGGAGACAGAAUCAGAAUGAGAGUUUAAUUUCUCGUCACUUCAGAGCCACCAGCCAAUGAAUGGAGAUGGAAGAGACCCAGUACAGCAGAGGUGCUGGCAUUAGCAGCCUAUUAUCAUGGGUUGAGAUACGAGAGUUCCCAGCAGAUUUAAACGGACUUGGGGACGAGUGUCCUAGAUCUUUACGCAAAACUUCGAUCUUCAGCAGAUGCAACACAAUGCUUUUAUUGAUAUGCAGUUGGAGAACUGUGUCAAAUAGUGGCUGCCUUCUCAUAAAGUAGAUGAAGGGACAGUAAAGAAGGUGUAAAAGAAAUCAAAGCUGAAACCGAAUCUGCAAAUCUAUAACCCUCAGCAACGGCUCCAGAGGCCGGUCUCAGUUUUAAUGAGAACGGAGGCUGAGGGGUCAACUAACAGAUUCAUUCAUAGAGGCUUUUGUGUGUUAUAAAGUGGAUCUGCAGCCUGUCAA